UCAACUAUAAAGAACACAAGUGUAGAACUGGAUGCAUUAGAUCUAUCUGUUUGCUGCAGAAUAAGUAGUUACUACGGAAUAAGUAAUUACUAGAUAGUUCCAAGCCAUUGAUUACCAUGAUUAUCAAACACAAACCCCUUCGAUCGAGCGUUACAUGCUCCCUCGGAAGCUACCAUCCUUUCGCCAUAAAUACAACUCUUCCCUACUUGGAACUAACUCACCUGAAGUUUGGACGGAGCUGGGCACCUGAGCAUCCGCCGAGGCUGGCGUCAUCUUGGAAAUAAUAUACGGAGUACUCCUAAGCAUAAAGCCUCCUGUCUUCUCGGCACCCCGUACCAGGUUACUAGCAAUGAAAUCAGCCGCACUCACAAUGUGUCUGGACACCUGUUCCGAUCCGGAAACGGUAUCUGAAGCGAGGCCAGCACGUUGGGAGGUCGGAGAUUUCAGCUGCUCCACCGUGCCAGCGAGUACGGCCUCCAAUAGGUCAAGAAAGAACUGCUGAAGAUCCUCUAGUUCGUCCUCCGUGCGCGAAGUCUGGCCCUCCU
Drosophila simulans is the source of this 545-nucleotide long non-coding RNA. RefSeq lists it as uncharacterized. NCBI's taxonomy places the organism in Eukaryota, Metazoa, Arthropoda, Insecta, Diptera, Drosophilidae. The transcript is spliced from 2 exons. The record is from RefSeq and is a predicted model, not a curated record.